Molecule: ribosomal RNA, 468 nt
Filed under: uncultured bacterium
Lineage: Bacteria
Description: partial 16S ribosomal RNA
Rfam family: Bacterial small subunit ribosomal RNA
Source: RNAcentral
GACGAACGCUGGCGGCGUGCUUAACACAUGCAAGUCGAACGGAAAGGCGCUGCGUUUGUGGGGUGGUCGAGAGGCGAACGGGGGAGUAAAACGUGAGGAAACUGCACUUGACAGAGGGAGAAAUUCAGGAAAAAGGGGAGAAUACAGGAGAGGAGCUACUGAAGCAUGGUGGGGGUUGGAAAGAGACGGCGGUGGGGGAUGGAUUCGAGGCUUAUCAGCUUGAUGGGGGGGUAGUGGAUGAAAAAGGCUUUGACGGGUAGGCUGCCUUAGAGGGUGACCGGCCUCAUUGGGCCUGCGAUACGCCCCAGACUCCUACCUUACGCAGUAGUGGGGAACAUUGCGCAAUGGGCCGAAGCCUGAUGCAGCAACGCCGCGUGCGGGAUGAUGGGCUUCGGGUUGUAAACCGCUUUCGCCUUUACCGAAGCCUGAGUGACGGUAAUGGGUCAAGAAGCACCGGCUAACUACGUG